RNAcentral lists this ribosomal RNA (206 nucleotides) under uncultured bacterium. Its description in RNAcentral is "partial 16S ribosomal RNA". It matches the Rfam family "Bacterial small subunit ribosomal RNA", at positions 568 to 774 of the family's 1533-position model. The record is from RNAcentral.
AGCGCAGGCGGUUUUGUAAGACAGAGGUGAAAUCCCCGGGCUCAACCUGGGAACUGCCUUUGUGACUGCAAGGCUAGAGUACGGCAGAGGGGGAUGGAAUUCCGCGUGUAGCAGUGAAAUGCGUAGAUAUGCGGAGGAACACCGAUGGCGAAGGCAAUCCCCUGGGCCUGUACUGACGCUCAUGCACGAAAGCGUGGGAGCAAACA